CCUACGGGAGGCAGCAGUGGGGAAUAUUGGACAAUGGUGGAAACCCUGAUCCAGCAACGCCGUGUGUGUGAAGAAGGCCUUAGGGUUGUAAAGCACUUUCAGUAGGGAAGAAAAGCUUAAGGGUAAUAUCCUUGAGUCUUGACGUUACCUACAGAAGAAGCACUGGCUAACUCUGUGCCAGCAGCCGCGGUAAU
This 194-nucleotide ribosomal RNA is filed under the name uncultured bacterium. Its description in RNAcentral is "partial 16S ribosomal RNA". It matches the Rfam family "Bacterial small subunit ribosomal RNA", at positions 338 to 524 of the family's 1533-position model. The record is from RNAcentral.